UGGAGUAGUUUGAUCCUGGCUCAGGACGAACGCUGGCGGCGUGCCUAAUACAUGCAAGUCGAGCGGACCAACGGGAGCUUGCUCCCUUAGGUUAGCGGCGGACGGGUGAGUAACACGUGGGUAACCUGCCUGUAAGACUGGGAUAACUCCGGGAAACCGGGGCUAAUACCGGAUGCUUGAUUGAACCGCAUGGUUCAAUUAUAAAAGGUGGCUUUUAGCUACCACUUACAGAUGGACCCGCGGCGCAUUAGCUAGUUGGUGAGGUAACGGCUCACCAAGGCAACGAUGCGUAGCCGACCUGAGAGGGUGAUCGGCCACACUGGGACUGAGACACGGCCCAGACUCCUACGGGAGGCAGCAGUAGGGAAUCUUCCGCAAUGGACGAAAGUCUGACGGAGCAACGCCGCGUGAGUGAUGAAGGUUUUCGGAUCGUAAAACUCUGUUGUUAGGGAAGAACAAGUACCGUUCGAAUAGGGCGGUACCUUGACGGUACCUAACCAGAAAGCCACGGCUAACUACGUGCCAGCAGCCGCGGUAAUACGUAGGUGGCAAGCGUUGUCCGGAAUUAUUGGGCGUAAAGCGCGCGCAGGCGGUUUCU
This 598-nucleotide ribosomal RNA is filed under the name Bacillus haynesii. RNAcentral describes it as "bacterial SSU rRNA". It matches the Rfam family "Bacterial small subunit ribosomal RNA", at positions 1 to 583 of the family's 1533-position model. The record is from RNAcentral. Lineage: Bacteria; Bacillati; Bacillota; Bacilli; Caryophanales; Bacillaceae.